AGUUGUGUAAGCAUUUCUCAAAGAGGAACUGAGACCCAGAUGCUUCUGGAAUUUUGAGUUCCUUUGGAGCCUGGAGUUAAUGAAGAGAGUGGCAUUUGAGUCUUUUCCCCCUAUCCAACUCCCACAGCCCAUGAGGAGGAAGAAAUGAGGUGGACACUGGAUGGUCCCACAGAGGGAUGUUGACUGUAUCCUUUUCCCUCCAUAUUUAGUGAAGUUGCUGUGCAGGUGUCCGAUUUCUGGGUCCAGCUUUCCUCUCCUGUCUGUUUCUUAGCCAACUUGCCUUCUGCUUUACAUAAGCUGCACCCGUGCCCUGCUUCCCUCCCAGCUGCAGUCCUACUGCUUUGGUAUGGCCUCUGUCAGAAUUCAGACAUCAAGAAGCACUUCUUUCAA
Long non-coding RNA from Ailuropoda melanoleuca (giant panda), 390 nucleotides. RefSeq lists it as uncharacterized. The transcript has 3 exons. Lineage: Eukaryota; Metazoa; Chordata; Mammalia; Carnivora; Ursidae. The record is from RefSeq and is a predicted model, not a curated record.